GAUGAACGCUGGCGGCGUGCCUAAUACAUGCAAGUCGAGCGAACAGAUGAGGAGCUUGCUCCUCUGACGUUAGCGGCGGACGGGUGAGUAACACGUGGAUAACCUACCUAUAAGACUGGGAUAACUUCGGGAAACCGGAGCUAAUACCGGAUAAUAUAUUGAACCGCAUGGUUCAAUAGUGAAAGACGGUUUUGCUGUCACUUAUAGAUGGAUCCGCGCCGCAUUAGCUAGUUGGUAAGGUAACGGCUUACCAAGGCAACGAUGCGUAGCCGACCUGAGAGGGUGAUCGGCCACACUGGAACUGAGACACGGUCCAGACUCCUACGGGAGGCAGCAGUAGGGAAUCUUCCGCAAUGGGCGAAAGCCUGACGGAGCAACGCCGCGUGAGUGAUGAAGGUCGUCGGAUUGUAAAACUCUGUUAUUAGGGAAGAACAAAUGUGUAAGUAACUAUGCACGUCUUGACGGUACCUAAUCAGAAAGCCACGGCUAACUACG
RNAcentral lists this ribosomal RNA (495 nucleotides) under uncultured bacterium. RNAcentral's name for it is "partial 16S ribosomal RNA". It matches the Rfam family "Bacterial small subunit ribosomal RNA", at positions 28 to 505 of the family's 1533-position model. The record is from RNAcentral.